GCGUUAUCCGGAUUUAUUGGGUUUAAAGGGUGCGUAGGCGGCCUAUUAAGUCAGGGGUGAAAGACGGUAGCUUAACUAUCGCAGUGCCUUUGAUACUGAUAGGCUUGAAUACACUUGAGGUAGGCGGAAUGUGACAAGUAGCGGUGAAAUGCAUAGAUAUGUCACAGAACACCAAUUGCGAAGGCAGCUUACUAAAGUGUCAUUGACGCUGAGGCACGAAAGCGUG
Molecule: ribosomal RNA, 226 nt
Filed under: uncultured bacterium
Lineage: Bacteria
Description: partial 16S ribosomal RNA
Rfam family: Bacterial small subunit ribosomal RNA
Source: RNAcentral